RNAcentral lists this ribosomal RNA (249 nucleotides) under uncultured Brevundimonas sp. RNAcentral's name for it is "partial 16S ribosomal RNA". It matches the Rfam family "Bacterial small subunit ribosomal RNA", at positions 529 to 777 of the family's 1533-position model. The record is from RNAcentral. Lineage: Bacteria; Pseudomonadati; Pseudomonadota; Alphaproteobacteria; Caulobacterales; Caulobacteraceae.
GGGGGGCUAGCGUUGCUCGGAAUUACUGGGCGUAAAGGGCGCGUAGGCGGAUCGUUAAGUCAGAGGUGAAAUCCCAGGGCUCAACCCUGGAACUGCCUUUGAUACUGGCGAUCUUGAGUAUGAGAGAGGUAUGUGGAACUCCGAGUGUAGAGGUGAAAUUCGUAGAUAUUCGGAAGAACACCAGUGGCGAAGGCGACAUACUGGCUCAUUACUGACGCUGAGGCGCGAAAGCGUGGGGAGCAAACAGGA